UACAGAGGGGGCAAGCGUUGUUCGGAAUUACUGGGCGUAAAGGGCGCGUAGGCGGCCCGCUAAGUCGAACGUGAAAUCCCCGGGCUCAACCCCGGAUCUGCCGUGCCGACUGUCAAACUCGAGGGCUGUAGAGGCAGACGGAAUUCCGGGUGUAGCGGUGGAAUGCGUAGAGAUCCGGAGGAAGACCGGUGGCGAAGGCGGUCUGCUGGGCAGUUUCUGACACUGAGGCGCGACAGCGUGGGGAGCAAACAGG
Molecule: ribosomal RNA, 253 nt
Filed under: uncultured bacterium
Lineage: Bacteria
Description: partial 16S ribosomal RNA
Rfam family: Bacterial small subunit ribosomal RNA
Source: RNAcentral